This 74-nucleotide transfer RNA is filed under the name Propionibacterium freudenreichii. RNAcentral's name for it is "tRNA-Lys(ctt)". It matches the Rfam family "tRNA". Rfam says of the family: Transfer RNA (tRNA) molecules are approximately 80 nucleotides in length. Their secondary structure includes four short double-helical elements and three loops (D, anti-codon, and T loops). The record is from RNAcentral. RNAcentral also lists the same sequence under 2 other names. Lineage: Bacteria; Bacillati; Actinomycetota; Actinomycetes; Propionibacteriales; Propionibacteriaceae.
GCGCUGCUAGCUCAACUGGCAGAGCAUCUGACUCUUAAUCAGAGGGUUCAGGGUUCGAGUCCCUGGCGGCGCAC